UGGAGGGUUUCUUGUUCUUGGUGUUGAUGUUUUUGUUUGGUACGAGGAAAGGAGUGUGGUGGUUGGUUUUGAGUGAGAGAGGGAGAGAAGAAGAGGGAGGAGGGGGUGGAGUGAAGGAAGGAGGAGAAGAAGGAGAAGAAGAAGAAGGAGGAGGAGGAGAAGGGAAAGAGGAAGAGAGAAGCUUGUCGAGUUUUUCUUGGAGACAGAAGGCACAGAUGGCCCCAGGGUUGCUGUGAUGGUGGUGAAUGCAUUGC
Molecule: long non-coding RNA, 254 nt
Filed under: Phaseolus vulgaris (common bean)
Lineage: Eukaryota; Viridiplantae; Streptophyta; Magnoliopsida; Fabales; Fabaceae
Description: long non-coding RNA (PVUL_LNC001343)
Source: RNAcentral